This 210-nucleotide ribosomal RNA is filed under the name uncultured bacterium. RNAcentral's name for it is "partial 16S ribosomal RNA". It matches the Rfam family "Bacterial small subunit ribosomal RNA", at positions 524 to 732 of the family's 1533-position model. The record is from RNAcentral.
UACAGACGGUCCAAACGUUAUUCGGAAUUACUGGGCGUAAAGCGUGCGCAGGCGGUUAUGUAAGACAGGUGUGAAAUCCCCGGGCUUAACCUGGGAACUGCAUUUGUGACUGCAUAGCUAGAGUACGGUAGAGGGGGAUGGAAUUCCGCGUGUAGCAGUGAAAUGCGUAGAUAUGCGGAGGAACACCGAUGGCGAAGGACAAUCCCCUGG